UGGAUGGUUUGUGGCUGUGACUGCAGACGUCGAAGAGAAAGUGAUCGGAAGAAAGAUCUGGUGAUGGUGGCACAGCCUCCCACAACAGAUGUCACUGUUCCACCGGCCUCUGGACUCUGAGGACAGAUGCAGAGACAUACAGAAGCAUCAUGGUCAGAGACACAGUUGCUGACAGGACAGAGUUGACUUUACCUGUGAGGCGGCGGCAGCAGCAGCAGAGGAGAGUCCAGGACAAACGGGGAUUUGAUCCAGUGACCAGCCGCUGUACAGUCCUGACCUUCUCUCCUGGGUUUUAUGCUCAUGAUCCCGAUUCUUUCACCUUUUACUUAUGAUAAUAAAGAUGUUUCCACAGACUUUUAAAUUCAAACGGGCAUUUAUGUUCCACAGAGGAAGAAGAAACAGUUUAAAACUGAGAUCUUUGACAUGAACUGAGAGAAAAGAAAUCAUGUAAAGAAACUGCUUCGUUCCAUCUCAUAGAUUUAUACAUAUAAACAUCACAUAACAUUAUUUGA
Solea senegalensis (Senegalese sole) is the source of this 512-nucleotide long non-coding RNA. RefSeq lists it as uncharacterized. The record is from RefSeq and is a predicted model, not a curated record. Lineage: Eukaryota; Metazoa; Chordata; Actinopteri; Pleuronectiformes; Soleidae. The transcript is spliced from 3 exons.